GACGAACGCUGGCGGCGUGCUUAACACAUGCAAGUCGAACGGAAAGGCCCUGCUUUUGUGGGGUGCUCGAGUGGCGAACGGGUGAGUAACACGUGAGUAACCUGCCCUUGACUUUGGGAUAACUUCAGGAAACUGGGGCUCAUACCGGAUAGGAGCUCCUGCUGCAUGGUGGGGGUUGGAAAGAUUCGGCGGUUGGGGAUGGACUCGCGGCUUAUCAGCUUGUUGGUGGGGUAGUGGCUUACCAAGGCUUUGACGGGUAGCCGGCCUGAGAGGGUGACCGGCCACAUUGGGACUGAGAUACGGCCCAGACUCCAACGGGAGGCAGCAGUGGAGAAUAUUGCACAAUGGGCGGAAGCCUGAUGCAGCGACGCCGCGUGCGGGAUGACGUCCUUCGGGUUGUAAACCGCUUUCGCCUGUGACGAGGCGUGAGUGACGGUAAUGGGUAAAGAAGCACCGGCUAACUACGUG
Molecule: ribosomal RNA, 468 nt
Filed under: uncultured bacterium
Lineage: Bacteria
Description: partial 16S ribosomal RNA
Rfam family: Bacterial small subunit ribosomal RNA
Source: RNAcentral